GGAGGCUCGGCGCCUGGUCUCACAUGGUGGAUAGAGUUGGCUUCGGCGCCAUUGAACCUUUAGCACCAUUUGAAAUCAGUGCUUCUGGCUCUCCUC
This 96-nucleotide microRNA precursor is filed under the name Capitella teleta. RNAcentral describes it as "microRNA cte-mir-29b precursor". Its record names the gene cte-mir-29b. Lineage: Eukaryota; Metazoa; Annelida; Polychaeta; Capitellidae. The record is from miRBase by way of RNAcentral.